AGGUAAAACUAUUUCAAAAGCGAGACUAGUUCUGAGUAUGAAAGUUAAAUGUGGGUGUGAGGGAGGAUAGCAAUAUUAAAAAAGUGUAGUAAUCAUAUAUGACUCUGCAUUUCAUGUAAAACACUGCACACUAAACAUUUGUGGUUUUCUUUCCACAGGAAGGAACUUGCACAAGCUUUGAAUAUUCCUGAAGUCAAAGUGAAGACAUGGUUUGUCCAUCGGAGAGCAGAAGAGAGGAAGAGAGAGAGGUCUGUCGUAUUACAGAGCAUACCUCCUCGUAUUGAAAAAGUGAUUCUCCUUAGGGAAAGGGAAGGCAAUCCCCAGAGUGCAAUCUAUGUUCAGGAGCAAGAUGGAAAUUUGGUGACACCUGUACUCAAUGUACAGCUUAACUAAAAUUCAACACUCAUGUUAACAAUAAAAUCAUGAAUUUCCAAGUUA
This is a long non-coding RNA of Peromyscus leucopus (white-footed mouse), 438 nucleotides long. RefSeq lists it as uncharacterized. The transcript has 2 exons. The record is from RefSeq and is a predicted model, not a curated record. NCBI's taxonomy places the organism in Eukaryota, Metazoa, Chordata, Mammalia, Rodentia, Cricetidae.